Molecule: long non-coding RNA, 592 nt
Organism: Rosa chinensis
Lineage: Eukaryota; Viridiplantae; Streptophyta; Magnoliopsida; Rosales; Rosaceae
Exons: 4
Source: RefSeq, a predicted model, not a curated record
ACAGAUGCUAUCCAAGACUAGAUUAAGUGUGUAGCACAUAUACCAGUUGAUGGAAAGUCAGGCCCUGCUAAGCACCAAUAUUGGUCAUUUGGUCUUGGCCUUAAUCUUUGGGGCAGCCUUGAUUUCUUAAAAGCAGUUUGCUUCAAGAGGGUCUGCUACUGUGCCUAUCUAUCACAUUCAAGGGGCAAAACACUUCCUUUUAUUACUGUUGAAGAAGGGUUGAUUUUCAAAUUUGAGCCUUCAAUGUUUGUAUGACUGAGCAUAGAAAAGUUACUAGUGGUAAAGUUGCAGCCAUGGAGAGGAACAUGAAUAAAUUUAUGUUUUCUGAUGUAUUUUAUUUGAAAUUGCAUAUGAUCUGUACAGUAAAUUUUAGAAAUACAUGGUUAUAGGUGUGCCAAAUUGUUAUAUUUUUUUUUUAUUUAUUCCCCAAAUUUGGCCACUGAUGUUGGUGGCAUUGAGAAAACACACUAUUACAAUAACAGUGGGAAAGAAAAAGGUAAUGUGCUGCAUUGGGUUUUGGUAUGCCACUGUUGUUUUAACAGUGUGGAUUGCCCCAAUAGCACCCACAAUAGAGGGGACUGAUUUCUCAUUA